CCAAAGACCCUCUUCUCCCACGGCGUCGAGACUGACGUAGCUAGCAGAGCCAAGACGACGCCGNCGCUUCUCACCNCAGGUUGCGAGGUCGUUCGCCGUCAGAACCGCUGGCGACAACGCCGGUCACCACCUCCGUACCAAACGCCGCGAGCCGCCGUCCAAGGCGUCGUCUAGUAGCGUCGAUCACCGUCACUACUGCUGCCGGCCACUGCACCAAUCCCCCUCUUCUC
Molecule: long non-coding RNA, 230 nt
Filed under: Vigna radiata
Lineage: Eukaryota; Viridiplantae; Streptophyta; Magnoliopsida; Fabales; Fabaceae
Description: long non-coding RNA (VRAD_LNC009629)
Source: RNAcentral